This 253-nucleotide ribosomal RNA is filed under the name uncultured prokaryote. Its description in RNAcentral is "partial 16S ribosomal RNA". It matches the Rfam family "Archaeal small subunit ribosomal RNA", at positions 474 to 727 of the family's 1478-position model. The record is from RNAcentral.
UACCAGCUCUCCGAGUGGUGUGGAUGUUUAUUGGGCCUAAAGCAUCCGUAGCUGGCUAAGUUAGUCCCUUGUUAAAUCCACCGAAUUAAUCGUUGGAUUGCGGGGGAUACUGCUUGGCUAGGGGGCGAGAGAGGCAGACGGUAUUUCCGGGGUAGGGGUGAAAUCCUAUAAUCCCGGGAAGACCACCAGUGGCGAAGGCUGUCUGCUAGAACGCGCCCGACGGUGAGGGAUGAAAGCUGGGGGAGCGAACCGG